RNAcentral lists this long non-coding RNA (411 nucleotides) under Heterocephalus glaber (naked mole-rat). Its description in RNAcentral is "lncRNA (ENSHGLG00000050702.1)". The record is from RNAcentral. Lineage: Eukaryota; Metazoa; Chordata; Mammalia; Rodentia; Bathyergidae.
CAAACCCUUUGCCAGCGUAAAGUACCCUGGUAACUGGUGUCAAAAUGUCUUUCGGAACAUAACAAAUGAAUUCUCCCCGAUACCUCCUAAGGAUGAUGACUUAGCACUCACUUUCCCUAGAAGUAAUGGCUACAGAGUUGAAGAGGGGCAGAUAAUCCAGGAUCUUCCCAGAAGAGACAUUCCCACAGCAGGCAGGUUGUUGGUGGUACGGUGGGAACAAGUACUCGGGCCAAGGAGAAUCAAGAUAAAGACUACCUCUCCCACUUGUUAGUAAGCUUUCCAGGCUCUUGUUCUUUCCUCCACAAGAUUUUGGAGAUCCAGAAAAGGAAAAGACAUGAUAAGAGAAGAUGCAUCCUGAACAACUUUUAUUAUGAAGAAGCUGAGGCUCUGACAAGUGCAGUUACUUUCACG